RNAcentral lists this ribosomal RNA (694 nucleotides) under uncultured bacterium. RNAcentral describes it as "bacterial SSU rRNA". It matches the Rfam family "Bacterial small subunit ribosomal RNA", at positions 32 to 715 of the family's 1533-position model. RNAcentral also lists the same sequence under 1 other name. The record is from RNAcentral.
AACGCUAGCUACAGGCUUAACACAUGCAAGUCGAGGGGCAGCAUGAUUGAAGCUUGCUUCAAUUGAUGGCGACCGGCGCACGGGUGAGUAACACGUAUCCAACCUUCCGUACACUCAGGGAUAGCCUUUCGAAAGAAAGAUUAAUACCUGAUGGUAUCUUAAGCACACAUGUAAUUAAGAUUAAAGAUUUAUCGGUGUACGAUGGGGAUGCGUUCCAUUAGGUAGUAGGCGGGGUAACGGCCCACCUAGCCUACGAUGGAUAGGGGUUCUGAGAGGAAGGUCCCCCACAUUGGAACUGAGACACGGUCCAAACUCCUACGGGAGGCAGCAGUGAGGAAUAUUGGUCAAUGGACGAGAGUCUGAACCAGCCAAGUAGCGUGAAGGAUGAAGGUCCUACGGAUUGUAAACUUCUUUUAUAAGGGAAUAAAACCUCCCACGUGUGGGAGCUUGUAUGUACCUUAUGAAUAAGCAUCGGCUAACUCCGUGCCAGCAGCCGCGGUAAUACGGAGGAUGCGAGCGUUAUCCGGAUUUAUUGGGUUUAAAGGGAGCGCAGACGGGUCGUUAAGUCAGCUGUGAAAGUUUGGGGCUCAACCUUAAAAUUGCAGUUGAUACUGGCGUCCUUGAGUGCGGUUGAGGUGUGCGGAAUUCGUGGUGUAGCGGUGAAAUGCUUAGAUAUCACGAAGAACUCCGAUUG